AACGAACGCUGGCGGCAGGCCUAACACAUGCAAGUCGAACGCCCCGCCAGGGGAGUGGCAGCCGGGUGAGUAACACGUGGGAACCUUCCCUAUAGUACGGAAUAGCCCAGGGAAACUUGGAGUAAUACCGUAUACGCCCGAAAGGGGAAAGAAUUUCGCUAUAGGAUGGGCCCGCGUAGGAUUAGCUAGUUGGUGAGGUAAUGGCUCACCAAGGCGACGAUCCUUAGCUGGUUUGAGAGAACGACCAGCCACACUGGGACUGAGACACGGCCCAGACUCCUACGGGAGGCAGCAGUGGGGAAUAUUGGACAAUGGGCGCAAGCCUGAUCCAGCCAUGCCGCGUGAGUGAUGAAGGCCUUAGGGUUGUAAAGCUCUUUUGGCGGGGACGAUAAUGACGGUACCCGCAGAAUAAGUCCCGGCUAACUUCGUG
RNAcentral lists this ribosomal RNA (430 nucleotides) under uncultured bacterium. Its description in RNAcentral is "partial 16S ribosomal RNA". It matches the Rfam family "Bacterial small subunit ribosomal RNA", at positions 29 to 507 of the family's 1533-position model. The record is from RNAcentral.